Molecule: ribosomal RNA, 588 nt
Filed under: uncultured bacterium
Lineage: Bacteria
Description: bacterial SSU rRNA
Rfam family: Bacterial small subunit ribosomal RNA
Source: RNAcentral
CCUACGGGAGGCAGCAGUGGGGAAUUUUGGACAAUGGGCGCAUGCCUGAUCCAGCAAUGCCGCGUGCAGGAUGAAGGCCUUCGGGUUGUAAACUGCUUUUGUACGGAACGAAACGGUCCUUUCUAAUACAAGGGGCUAAUGACGGUACCGUAAGAAUAAGCACCGGCUAACUACGUGCCAGCAGCCGCGGUAAUACGUAGGGUGCGAGCGUUAAUCGGAAUUACUGGGCGUAAAGCGUGCGCAGGCGGUUAUAUAAGACAGAUGUGAAAUCCCCGGGCUCAACCUGGGACCUGCAUUUGUGACUGUAUAGCUAGAGUACGGUAGAGGGGGAUGGAAUUCCGCGUGUAGCAGUGAAAUGCGUAGAUAUGCGGAGGAACACCGAUGGCGAAGGCAAUCCCCUGGACCUGUACUGACGCUCAUGCACGAAAGCGUGGGGAGCAAACAGGAUUAGAUACCCUGGUAGUCCACGCCCUAAACGAUGUCAACUGGUUGUUGGGUCUUCACUGACUCAGUAACGAAGCUAAACGCGUGAAGUUGACCGCCUGGGGAGUACGGCCGCAAGGUUGAAAACUCAAAAUGAAUUGACGG